CCUACGUGUGGCAGCAGUGAGGAAUAUUGGUCAAUGGCCGAAAGGCUGAACCAGCCAAGUCGCGUGAGUGAAGAAUGUCCUAUGGAUUGUAAACCUCUUUUGUCAGUGAGCCAAGUCACCCACGUGUGGCUGUUGGCUAGUACCUGAAGAAAAAGCAUCGGCUAACUCCUUGCCAGCAGCCGCGGUAAUACGGAGGAUGCGAGCGUUAUCCGGAUUUAUUGGGUUUAAAGGGUGCGUAGGCGAGUUAUCAAGUCAGCGGUAAAAUCGUGGAGUUCAACUCCAUCCAGCCGUUGAAACUGAUGAUCUUGAGUGGGCGAGAAGUAUGCGGAAUGCGUGGUGUAGCGGUGAAAUGCAUAGAUAUCACGCAGAACUCCGAUUGCGAAGGCAGCAUACCGGAGCCCGACUGACGCUGAAGCACGAAAGCGUGGGUAUCGAACAGGAUUAGAUACCCUAGUAGUC
Molecule: ribosomal RNA, 459 nt
Filed under: uncultured bacterium
Lineage: Bacteria
Description: partial 16S ribosomal RNA
Rfam family: Bacterial small subunit ribosomal RNA
Source: RNAcentral